Molecule: transfer RNA, 72 nt
Filed under: Cavia porcellus (domestic guinea pig)
Lineage: Eukaryota; Metazoa; Chordata; Mammalia; Rodentia; Caviidae
Rfam family: tRNA
About the family: Transfer RNA (tRNA) molecules are approximately 80 nucleotides in length. Their secondary structure includes four short double-helical elements and three loops (D, anti-codon, and T loops). Further hydrogen bonds mediate the characteristic L-shaped molecular structure. tRNAs have two regions of fundamental functional importance: the anti-codon, which is responsible for specific mRNA codon recognition, and the 3' end, to which the tRNAs corresponding amino acid is attached (by aminoacyl-tRNA synthetases). tRNAs cope with the degeneracy of the genetic code in two manners: having more than one tRNA (with a specific anti-codon) for a particular amino acid; and 'wobble' base-pairing, i.e. permitting non-standard base-pairing at the 3rd anti-codon position.
Source: Rfam by way of RNAcentral
AGGGGUAUAGUUCAGUGGAACAGCACUUGCUUGGCAAGCAUGAGGUCCUGAGUUUGAUUCCUGGUACACAUA